Xyrichtys novacula (pearly razorfish) is the source of this 886-nucleotide non-coding RNA. The record is from the annotation of a GenBank genome assembly. NCBI's taxonomy places the organism in Eukaryota, Metazoa, Chordata, Actinopteri, Labriformes, Labridae.
UCCCAGGGCACAUAUGAAAAGAAUAUUUUUUCUGUUUGAUAAAUAUAUAUAUAUAUACCGUCAAUGCCAGGCGAACCAAUGGCAAAAUACGACAGCCGACUCUAAGCCUCGUCGACCAGUACUUGCUUUAAUUUCACGAACAAACGCGUUAGCUUGCUCGCAAAGUUGCGAUUGUUGAUCACACAGUCGCUUAACUGGGAGAGGCAAGUAAACAAAAGGGUUAUCUGCUUGAACGUGUUUUUAUAUGGCUGCCUGUCUUGACCUGAACUGACUUGACUUGUGUUUAAUGCCAUUACAGGACCACUAACUGCCUCCUUUUUCGAAGCUUUUUAGUCCUUUUACGUUGCACACUUCGGAAGUGCGGUCUCCGUUGCAAAUGUGUUGUUUCAUAACAAAGAGCCAACAAAUGGACAACCAUUGGGCACUAAGUCCUCCACCAAACCACACAUGACGAAAAUAGAUUAGACUAGUUUGGUUAUUUGGCAAUGCUUUGGAUGAUAAGUGGUAAUGGCAGGUUAGAUGCGUUGCAUACACGUGAAGUGUAAAGAAAUAUUUCUAACAACUAAAUGCUGCUGAAAUAGACUUCCAUCAUGUGGGACUUCAAAUUCUCUAUUUUGUUACUGUUUAAUUCGCACUUUGAAGCGCAUGGAGUAUCCAUGAGGCUUUUGUUGGAAGUUGGGAGAGAUAGUUUGCACUACCUGCUCUAGGCAGUAAGCAGUGACGCUUUGUGGUGUCCUAAAGAUCCCUCCCCUUUGUCAUGAUUUUCUUUUGGAUUUUCUUGUUCCUGUAAAAGUUGUAGCGGAUUAAAGGUAAAAAGUAGCUUAAAUUUUCUCUUUGGUGAAGGUCAAACAAUCUUGUAUUAGCUACUGUCAUGGCUUUGAACAGG